RNAcentral lists this ribosomal RNA (370 nucleotides) under uncultured organism. RNAcentral describes it as "partial 16S ribosomal RNA". It matches the Rfam family "Bacterial small subunit ribosomal RNA", at positions 527 to 896 of the family's 1533-position model. The record is from RNAcentral.
GUAGGUGGCAAGCGUUGUCCGGAAUUAUUGGGCGUAAAGCGCGCGCAGGCGGUUCUUUAAGUCUGAUGUGAAAGCCCACGGCUCAACCGUGGAGGGUCAUUGGAAACUGGAGAACUUGAGUACAGAAGAGGAAAGCGGAAUUCCACGUGUAGCGGUGAAAUGCGUAGAGAUGUGGAGGAACACCAGUGGCGAAGGCGGCUUUCUGGUCUGUAACUGACGCUGAGGCGCGAAAGCGUGGGGAGCAGACAGGAUUAGAUACCCUGUUAGUCCACGCCGUAAACGAUGAGUGCUAAGUGUUAGGGGGUUUCCGCCCCUUAGUGCUGCAGCUAACGCAUUAAGCACUCCGCCUGGGAGUACGGCCGCAAGGCUG